UGGCAAGUGGGAGGAAGUGUCACAGCUCUUUUAUUUCUGCCACCCACAGCUUGGUGAGUAGGAGCAUUACAGCUCUUUUGCUCCCACAGUUCAGCAAAUUCUGAGUUCCUGUCCCAUGACCAAGAGGAAUGAGGAACAUGGACACCGGAGAAUGAGUAAGGCAGAGUAGAAUUUUAUUCAUCAGCGAGAGGGGACCUGAAAGCAGGUCGCCAUCUGUGAGGAUUAAAGUUAGGACCAAAUGCUGCUCAGAAAUUGUUUUAAUCUCAAAAGUAGUUGGCAAGUUUUCAGAGUUCAUUUUCAAGGCCUGGUGUAUGCAUUGGUUACAUGAAAACCGUGUGACAACCUUGGAAGUCUGAAAGAGCAGGAGAGAGGCUAAGCACACACAUAUUGUGAUUUUAAGAGUCUCAAGAAAUUCUCCACUGAAAAAAUCAUGCAUAUCCAGGCAUAGAAGAGGGGUAACAACUACAGGAAAAACAAGAAAUAGGGAAGAAGGGCUGACACAAGCUGAGAUGAGGAAAUAUGACCUCCUACACGUGUUUUCCAUGAGGAAUAUGUUUGCUGUGCAGUCACUGAGUUAAAAGCAACCUUCAUUCCCUUGUGCACCAAGGUAGUGCCUCUCCAGAGCUGUAGAUGUCUUCCCAGGAUAUUCCAUCAUUCUACACAGCAUUUAAUUCUUGGAGCUCACAGUCCAAGACUGUUAUCAGUCCAUUUUCACUCUAUUGAUCAAGACAUACUCAAGACUGGGUAAUUUAUAAAGAAA
RNAcentral lists this long non-coding RNA (760 nucleotides) under Homo sapiens (human). Its description in RNAcentral is "HSALNT0322338". Lineage: Eukaryota; Metazoa; Chordata; Mammalia; Primates; Hominidae. The record is from RNAcentral.